Molecule: transfer RNA, 74 nt
Filed under: Truepera sp.
Lineage: Bacteria; Thermotogati; Deinococcota; Deinococci; Trueperales; Trueperaceae
Description: tRNA-Ala
Rfam family: tRNA
About the family: Transfer RNA (tRNA) molecules are approximately 80 nucleotides in length. Their secondary structure includes four short double-helical elements and three loops (D, anti-codon, and T loops).
Source: RNAcentral
GCUGCGGUAGUUCAGAGGCAGAAUAAAUCCCCAGCACGGAUUAGACCCCGGUUCGAUUCCGGGCUACAACUCCA